Long non-coding RNA from Lemur catta (Ring-tailed lemur), 518 nucleotides. RefSeq lists it as uncharacterized. The transcript is spliced from 3 exons. The record is from RefSeq and is a predicted model, not a curated record. Lineage: Eukaryota; Metazoa; Chordata; Mammalia; Primates; Lemuridae.
CUCGGAGCACCGCGAGAGGAAAAGAGCGACGCUGGGAGUGGGCGGAAUAGUGUAGCCGGCGUCACCGUUUUACAGGAGUCUUUCUUGUAUUUAAUAAACAUGUCAACUUUCAAGAUUAAUCAUGAAAAUUUUAGUUUAGAAGAGGCCCUUUGUUUGGAAUACGUUUGCCCCAGAUAUCUUCAUGGCUUGCUCCUGUCAAAAUGGCACAGCCUCUCCUACCAUCAGCAUCCUGCACCAGGGUGGUACCUUUGUUAUAAUCAGUCAGCCAAAAUUGACAUAUCAUUAUCACCCCAAGUUCAUAGUCUGCAUUAGGGUUCACUCUUGGUGUUGUACAUCCUAUGGGUUUUGACAAAUAUAUGGCAUAUAUCAACUAUUUGAGUAUUGUACAAAAUAGUUUUACUGCCCCCAGAAUCCCGUGUUCUGCCUAUUCAUUGCUCCCUGCCCCUAAACCCCUGGCAACCACUGAUCUUUUUACUGUUUCUGUAGUUUUGCUUUUUACAGAAUUUCAUAUAGUUGGA